UUGAAGGCAGCAGUGGGGAAUUUUGCGCAAUGGGCUAACGCCUGACGCAGCAACGCCGCGUGGAGGAUGAAGGUCUUUGGAUUGUAAACUCCUGUCAGCGGGGAAAAAGCGACUCGUGCUCAUACCACGGGGAGUUGAUUGUACCCGCAGAGGAAGCCCCGGCUAACUCUGUGCCAGCAGCCGCGGUAAUACAGAGGGGGCAAGCGUUAUUCGGAAUUAUUGGGCGUAAAGGGCGCGUAGGCGGCUUCGCAAGUGGAAGGUGAAAUCCCUCGGCUUAACCGAGGAACUGCCCUCCAAACUGCGUUGCUUGAGGCCGGGAGAGGUGAGUGGAAUUCCCAGUGUAGCGGUGAAAUGCGUAGAUAUUGGGAGGAACACCAGUGGCGAAGGCGGCUCACUGGACCGGUUCUGACGCUGAGGCGCGAAAGCGUGGGGAGCAAACGGGAUUAGAUACCCCCGUAGUCC
This 462-nucleotide ribosomal RNA is filed under the name uncultured bacterium. RNAcentral's name for it is "bacterial SSU rRNA". It matches the Rfam family "Bacterial small subunit ribosomal RNA", at positions 342 to 796 of the family's 1533-position model. The record is from RNAcentral.